RNAcentral lists this unclassified non-coding RNA (376 nucleotides) under soil metagenome. RNAcentral's name for it is "partial contains 5.8S ribosomal RNA, internal transcribed spacer 2, and large subunit ribosomal RNA". The stretch from base 1 to 120 matches the Rfam family "5.8S ribosomal RNA", at positions 35 to 154 of the family's 154-position model. The record is from RNAcentral.
GAUUAAGAACGCAGCGAAAUGCGAUAAGUAAUGUGAAUUGCAGAAUUCAGUGAAUCAUCGAAUCUUUGAACGCAUCUUGCGCUCCUUGGUAUUCUGAGGAGCAUGCCUGUUUGAGUGUCAUUAAAUUCUCAACUACACUGACUUUGAAUUGGUGUGGCUUGGAUUUGGGGGGAAAAUUGUUGUGGGCUUUUUGUAUAGUCUGCUCCCCUGAAAUUGAUUAGCGGUACCUUUGUGGAACUGUCUACAGGUGUGAUAAUUAUCUACAUCUUAGACAUCUGCUGGAAUGCUGCUUUCUAAACCUUACUUGUAUUGACAAUCUUGACCUCAAAUCAGGUAGGACUACCCGCUGAACUUAAGCAUAUCAAUAAGCGGAGGA